Molecule: ribosomal RNA, 355 nt
Filed under: Greenomyia mongolica
Lineage: Eukaryota; Metazoa; Arthropoda; Insecta; Diptera; Mycetophilidae
Description: partial 12S ribosomal RNA
Source: RNAcentral
UUAAAAUGUAAUUAAAAAAGAUAGAAUAGUAUUAGUUAUAUGCUUGAAAUUUAAAAAAUUUGGCGGUAUUUUAAUUUAUUCAGAGGAACUUGUUUUAUAAUUGAUAAUCCUCAUUUAAUCUUACUUAAUUUUAUUAAAUUUGUAUACCGUCGUCAUAAGAAUUUCUUAAAAGAGGAAUAAUUUUCUAAAAUUUUAAUUUUAAAUAAUGUCAGAUCAAGGUGCAGUUUAUAGUUAAGAAAAAAUGAGUUACAAUAAAUUUAUUUAUACGGGGUUAAAAAUUAAAUUUUUUUAACUAAGGUGGAUUUGAAAGUAAAAUAAAUAAUAAAGUUUAUUUGAUUAAAACUCUAAAAUAUGU